RNAcentral lists this unclassified non-coding RNA (225 nucleotides) under Undaria peterseniana. RNAcentral describes it as "ITS1". Lineage: Eukaryota; Phaeophyceae; Laminariales; Alariaceae. RNAcentral also lists the same sequence under 1 other name. The record is from RNAcentral.
CCGAUCAGGAAGGGGACACCCUCCUGACACUACCGUCGUGCGCGUCGGUUUUGUAAACCCCGAGAAAGAAAAUCGUUACGCGAUGUUGGGCGAGGGGCGCCUCGCCGAGGGUUCAUUCCCUCGAAUCAAAGCGCACCCCACUUUUCAACCCCAUUAAACUCUGAAUCUGAACUCAAAAGGGGGGCAUGCGCGCGAUUGCGCGCGGCUCCCCCAACCUUUAACGUU